UUGCGCCUACAUCACGUUGAAACAUCGGUUCUCGUACGAUUACUGAAGUUAAGCAAAGUCGAGCCUGGUCUGUACCUAGAUGGGUGACCGCUUUAGAAUAACAGGUGCUGUAAG
Non-coding RNA from Acanthosepion pharaonis, 114 nucleotides. Lineage: Eukaryota; Metazoa; Mollusca; Cephalopoda; Sepiida; Sepiidae. The record is from the annotation of a GenBank genome assembly.